RNAcentral lists this non-coding RNA (45 nucleotides) under Echinostoma caproni. The record is from RNAcentral. Lineage: Eukaryota; Metazoa; Platyhelminthes; Trematoda; Plagiorchiida; Echinostomatidae.
CUGUUGAUGACGAGUUCCAAACAGGACGAAACAGCUGUCCAGUGC